RNAcentral lists this long non-coding RNA (1899 nucleotides) under Sorghum bicolor (sorghum). RNAcentral describes it as "long non-coding RNA (SBIC_LNC005598)". Lineage: Eukaryota; Viridiplantae; Streptophyta; Magnoliopsida; Poales; Poaceae. The record is from RNAcentral.
UAUUGCCUUCAACUCAUCCUGCAUCUCUGCCUUGGCUUGUUGUGAUUGCUCAGUCAAAGUGUAGAUGUUCUGCUGUAACUCAUCAUUAGCUUGCUGUAGAGUUGAAAUGUUCUCAGUUUGCUUUUCAACCACAGUCUCAAGAUUCCUAACAGAAGCCUGAGACGUCUGUAACUCUAAUAGAGCUGUGUCCUUCUCUGCACCUAGGUCUGAAAUUUGAGCAUGCAGAUUGCUCCUGGCUUCUUCAAACUGCUUGUCCAAGGUGGAGUUGUUUUCUAGCUGUUCGGAAAGCUCCUCUUUCAGCCGUGUCACCUCAUUCUCAAGAUUUUGUACUGAAGUCUCUGACUGCUUCAGUUGUGUUAGCACUGUAUCCUUCUCUUCUUGUAUUGCCUUCAACUCAUCCUGCAUCUCCGCCUUGGCUUGUUGUGAUUGCUCAGUCAAAGUGUAGAUGUUCUUCUGUAACUCAUCAUUAGCUUGCUGUAGAGUAGAAAUGUUCUCAGUUUGCUUUUCAACCACAAUCUCAAGAUUCCUGACAGAAGCCUGAGACGUCUGUAACUCCAAUAGAGCUGUGUCCUUCUCUGCACCUAGGUCUGAAAUUUGAGCAUGCAGAUUGCUCCUGGCUUCUUCAAACUGCUUGUCCAAGGUGGAGUUGUUUUCUAGCUGUAUGGAAAGCUCCUCUUUCAGUCGUGUCACCUCGUUCUCAAGAUUUUGUACUGAAGUCUCUGACUGCUUCAGUUGUGUUAGCACUGUAUCCUUCUCUUCUUGUAUUGCCUUCAACUCAUCCUGCAUCUCCGCCUUGGCUUGUUGUGAUUGCUCAGUCAAAGUGUAGAUGUUCUUCUGUAGCUCAUCAUUAGCUUGCUGUAGAGUAGAAAUGUUCUCAGUUUGCUUUUCAACCACAGUCUCAAGAUUCCUGACAGAAGCCUGAGACGUCUGUAACUCUAAUAGAGCUGUGUCCUUCUCUGCACCUAGGUCUGAAAUUUGAGCAUGCAGAUUGCUCCUGGCUUCUUCAAACUGCUUGUCCAAGGUGGAGUUGUUUUCUAGCUGUUCGGAAAGCUCCUCUUUCAGCCGUGUCACCUCAUUCUCAAGAUUUUGUACUGAAGUCUCUGACUGCUUCAGUUGUGUUAGCACUGUAUCCUUCUCUUCUUGUAUUGCCUUCAACUCAUCCUGCAUCUCCGCCUUGGCUUGUUGUGAUUGCUCAGUCAAAGUGUAGAUGUUCUUCUGUAACUCAUCAUUAGCUUGCUGUAGAGUAGAAAUGUUCUCAGUUUGCUUUUCAACCACAAUCUCAAGAUUCCUGACAGAAGCCUGAGACGUCUGUAACUCCAAUAGAGCUGUGUCCUUCUCUGCACCUAGGUCUGAAAUUUGAGCAUGCAGAUUGCUCCUGGCUUCUUCAAACUGCUUGUCCAAGGUGGAGUUGUUUUCUAGCUGUAUGGAAAGCUCCUCUUUCAGUCGUGUCACCUCGUUCUCAAGAUUUUGUACUGAAGUCUCUGACUGCUUCAGUUGUGUUAGCACUGUAUCCUUCUCUUCUUGUAUUGCCUUCAACUCAUCCUGCAUCUCCGCCUUGGCUUGUUGUGAUUGCUCAGUCAAAGUGUAGAUGUUCUUCUGUAGCUCAUCAUUAGCUUGCUGUAGAGUAGAAAUGUUCUCAGUUUGCUUUUCAACCACAAUCUCAAGAUUCCUGACAGAAGCCUGAGACGUCUGUAACUCCAAUAGAGCUGUGUCCUUCUCUGCACCUAGGUCUGAAAUUUGAGCAUGCAGAUUGCUCCUGGCUUCUUCAAACUGCUUGUCCAAGGUGGAGUUGUUUUCUAGCUGUAUGGAAAGCUCCUCUUUCAGUCGUGUCACCUCAUUCUCAAGAUUUUGUACUGAAGUCUCUGACUGCUUCAGUUGUGUUAGCACUGCAUCCUUCUC